GAUGAACGCUGGCGGCGUGCCUAAUACAUGCAAGUCGAGCGAACGGACGAGAAGCUUGCUUUUCUGAUGUUAGCGGCGGACGGGUGAGUAACACGUGGAUAACCUACCUAUAAGACUGGGAUAACUUCGGGAAACCGGAGCUAAUACCGGAUAAUAUUUUGAACCGCAUGGUUCAAAAGUGAAAGACGGUCUUGCUGUCACUUAUAGAUGGAUCCGCGCUGCAUUAGCUAGUUGGUAAGGUAAGGGCUUACCAAGGCAACGAUGCAUAGCCGACCUGAGAGGGUGAUCGGCCACACUGGAACUGAGACACGGUCCAGACUCCUACGGGAGGCAGCGGUAGGGAAUCUUCCGCAAUGGGCGAAAGCCUGACGGAGCAACGCCGCGUGAGUGAUGAAGGUCUUCGGAUCGUAAAACUCUGUUAUUAGGGAAGAACAUAUGUGUAAGUAACUGUGCACAUCUUGACGGUACCUAAUCAGAAAGCCACGGCUAACUACGUG
Molecule: ribosomal RNA, 497 nt
Filed under: uncultured bacterium
Lineage: Bacteria
Description: partial 16S ribosomal RNA
Rfam family: Bacterial small subunit ribosomal RNA
Source: RNAcentral